This 107-nucleotide small RNA is filed under the name Marmota monax (woodchuck). Lineage: Eukaryota; Metazoa; Chordata; Mammalia; Rodentia; Sciuridae. The record is from RNAcentral.
GCCAGGCAUGGUGGUGCAUGCCUGUAAUCCUAGGGACCUGGGAGGCUGAGGCAGGAGGAUGGCAAGUUAAAGGCCAAUGCCAGUAAUUUAGUUAGACUCUGUCUCAA